Long non-coding RNA from Alexandromys fortis (reed vole), 4941 nucleotides. RefSeq lists it as uncharacterized. The record is from RefSeq and is a predicted model, not a curated record. NCBI's taxonomy places the organism in Eukaryota, Metazoa, Chordata, Mammalia, Rodentia, Cricetidae. The transcript has 4 exons.
GUCUUAAAAAAAAGGGUAAAGUCUUUAAAGAGACAGAGUACAGAUAGUUAUAGAUUAAGAGAAAUAAAGAAAAAUAAGCCACAUAAAAAUGGAAAAUUCACAGAGAGUCUGGAUUAUGUACAUUGUAAUUUCUUUAAAAUUUUUGACUGUGAAGGAGCUAAGUACAGAGAGACAUUUCAUUAUAUGGGCUGCUAAGCUGAACCUGCACAUAUGUUCUAAAGGUAUCUUGACUUCAGAAUUUGGAUCUAAGGUUAUGAUGCUUUGGAAAAGUCCUUCUUUUGUUUUCACAGAGGAUGUGACCCUGUGGAUUGCAUCUAUUCCGAUUUGGUAUGAUAGACCACGCCCUCCUGAAAGGUUGCUGUGAACACCCUCAAAAAAUUGCUUCGCUCAAUUGCCAACUGAGAUGAAACUAGCACACAGGUUAUAUCAUGAACGACCUAAUUAACGACGCCCCUAUUCAGCAGGAAGCAGUUUGGAGAGAAAAAACUACGCCCAUGUUCCCAAAUAUUGUUUAUAAAUGUUCUUUUACAUUUAAAGGGGGAUAUGAUAUAGAUAUGAAUAAUUUGCAUUGGUAUGGAUUUUAUGGUCAAUUUUGUUAUAUGUAUAUGUAUUUUUGAUCUUGAUUAAGGUAUUGUGAUUGUGUAGUUCAUUUAAAAAUGUAAUGUAUAAUUAGGAAAUAUAGGUUGUUAAUGGAUAAUCAUCGCUAAUAGUUAAGCUUGUAGUCAUGUUAGUUAGAUUUUCUAGAUAUAUAGAGAUAUAUUUCAGUUAGAUAGGCAUUCUUCAUAUCUUUCAAAGACUGCAGAAUAUGGCAUUUAAAAUAUUUUAAUAACUUAGGACUUUUCAUGACAAGGAGACACGUCUGCUCCUGGCAGCACCAGCUACUUCAAGAGGAAGAUGGGCAUCGAAGAGGAUCCUUAUGGAGUUGGAUAGUCAUUUGGGCAAGAAACUGCUCUUGCCUGGACUGUUGCAUAAACUGGACACAGAGAACCCUCAGAGAGAGGACUGCUGAACUUGCCUAAAGGUGAGAUGGUCUUUCGGGGUUCCUGAUUCAUGAAAGAGUCUGCGAGACAUUCUGCAGGACACAGCAGAAAAUGACUGAACUGUCUUUGAAAUUUCCUGCUUCAUGGAAAUGUAUCUGGAUACCAUGGGCCUGUAGGCCGAAGAUGGAUGCCCCAACGGUACAGAGGAACUUUGGGUGACUGUCCAGGCAGCGAGAUGUCUCUGUCAUUUCUAGAGUUUUCUUAUUUCUUGUUUACUUAGGUAAUAUUAUAUCCUUCUGGAGUCUUUGAUGGAGUUGAAGAAUGAAUAGUUAUAGUUUUCCUUAGUUAUGGUAAGAGAUAAAAUAGAUAUAAAUAUUGUAACUGUAAUUCUUACUUGAUAACUGUUUUGUUAUAUGUAAUUUUACUAUGUUAAAGUUAAAGCCUUUCUUUUUUUGUUUAAACAGAAAAAGGGGAAAUGAUGGAGGUGGGUCUUGUAUCUUAUCUGUUGCUUUCAUUGGUUAAUAAUAAAGAAACUGCCUCGGCCCUCAUAGGACAGAAAAUUAGGUAGGUGGAGUAAACAGAAGAGAAUGCUGGGAAAAAGAAGCUGAGUAGAGGAGUCGCCAUGAUUCUCCCGCUCCAGACAGACGCAGGUUAAGAUCCUCCCUGGGUUUUUCAUGACAAUGAGACACGUCUGCUCCUGGCAGCACCAAUCUACUUCAAGAGGAAGAUGGGCAUCGAAGAGGAUCCUUAUGGAGUUUGAUAGCCAUUUGGGCAAGAAACUGCUCUUGCCUGGACUGUUGCAUAAACUGGACACAGAGAACCCGCAGAGAGAGGACUGCUGAACUUGCCUAAAGGUGAGAUGGUCUUUCGGGGUUCCUGAUUCAUGAAAGAGUCUGCGAGACAUUCUGCAGGACACAGCAGAAAAUGACUGAACUGUCUUUGAAAUUUCCUGCUUCAUGGAAAUGUCUCUGGAUACCAUGGGCCUGUAGGCCGAAGAUGGAUGCCCCAACGGUACAGAGGAACUUUGGGUGACUGUCCAGGCAGCGAGAUGUCUCUGUCAUUUCUAGAGUUUUCUUAUUUCUUGUUUAAUUAGGUAGUAUUAUAUCCUUCUGGAGUCUUUGAUGGAGUUGAAGAAUGAAUAGAUAGUUAUAGUUUUCCUUAGUUAUGAUAAGAGAUAAAAUAGAUAUAAAUAUUGUAACUGUAAUUCUUACUUGAUAACUGUUUUGUUAUAUGUAAUUUUACUAUGUUAAAGUUAAAGCCUUUCUUUUUUGUUUAAACAGAAAAAGGGGAAAUGAUGUGGGAGUGAUUUCUUAUUAAUAAAGAAACUGCCUUGGCCCAUUUUAUUGGAUAGAAAAUUAGGUAGGCGGAGUAUACAGAAGAGAAUUCUGGGAGAAAGAAGGUUAGAGGAAGAGUCGCCAUGAUGCUCCCACUCCAGACAGACGCAGGUUAAGAUCCUCUCUGGUCUCCAGAGCAAAAUUAAGCGGAAACAACAACAAUGGGAAUUCUUAACACAGUUAUGGACUUUAAAACAACAGAUUCUUACUCAUCUUAUUAAGGAGCUUUAAGGGAGCAGUCAGAGGACAUGAGGGAAUCAGUGUCAGUUGUCUCCUGCGCCGUGAUUCAUGUCAGCAGGCUUGGCUGCAGGAGCCUUCACCUGCCGAGCCAUCUCACCAGCCCCAGAUUAACUGUUUAGAGUACAGUGGGCUAAACAACAGCUCCCAAAGACAGCUGUGUUGUAGUUUAGCAGUUGCGAGAAUAAAUUACUAUAUACAACAAACCCACGUGGAAAUUUAUUGCUAGGAGGGGUGAAAGAGGAGGUCGGGACAGGACGUGUAUGGCGUGGCUGCAUAAUGCUCAGUACGCAUGCGUAAAAGCCCCUUUUUAAAGUACGCUCCACCCGUUCUUGUUCUCUCUUCAUCGAUUCCCUUUCCAGCCCCCAUCAAUAAACUUCCACGUGGGUUUGUUGUAUAUCAUGAUCCGUUCUCUCUGCCGAUAAACUACAACAAACUGUGUCCUCAUCUCAAAAGCCUGUGCAUAUGCCUUAAGUGGCAAAGUGACUUUCAGGUGUGAUUAAGAUUUCCAAGCAUGGAGAAUAUUAUGAAUUAUCUAGUUGAGUCAAUGAAAUUGCAUGCUUCCUUAUGGAAGGGAGACAAGGUCAUAGCCAAAGAGAAGACAGCAAGAAGAUGCUACUGAACCAGUUUUGAAGACAAAGGACGGGGCCCUGUCCAAGGACAAGGGGCAGCUUCCUGAGCUAGGAGCAGCAAAUUCUCCCGUGAAGCUUCCCGCACUCUGAGAGUACUUUAAUCUACGCAUGAUGAUUCUGCGUUUAGAUUUCUAACCUUCAGAAGACUUUUGCUCUUUCGAGCCAGUACACGUGUGACCAUUUCUUGAUAGUAGCAGAGCCAGACACAGGGGUCCUGUAUUGCAUCUAACCUCCUCAGACUCUGAGGUGAUUCUGUCAAAUUACAGAAAGCUGGUCAGCAAGUCAUGCCCAGAUCGAGAUGCCUCUUGCAUACCUAAGACCUCACAUUUUUCAUUCAGUUGGGAUUUAGUUUGAAAAUAGCAUAUUUAGACUCUUCAAAUGCAUGCUCAUAAAUGAGAACAGCCUUCAGUUUUCCUUUCUUACAGUAACUGUCUUAUAUCUGAGAUCCUGGACUUGUAAAAGGAGCUGAGAAGUGCAACUUCUUUUAUUGUUACAUAGGCAUGUUUUAUAAAUAGGAUUAUAUUUCCUUAAAGGCUCUACAAAGUCUAUCUGUGAGGAUAGGAGACAGGGACCUUCUCAAACACGCUCGUGUUUGAAAGCAGAUUUUUCGCAUCUUGUACAUGUUCUGAACUCAUGCUGGGGAAUUCCAUUUCCUGGUGUCAUUUGUUCAAACUUUCUCCAACUCACUACACUAAAAGAAAUCUGUGAUAUCCACCUCUUUGAUAUCUUAUCUGGCAUGCAGUUAUCCCUACUCUUCACUUUCUACUAUAUUCAUUGGUGACAUCUCUGUCUUUUAUCUGUUCUAAUCUUGGGAGUACUUAGCUUUUGGUUUAGUUCAUCUUCCUUUGAUUUAUAUUCCCUUCUUCAAUUUUCUUAAUUUUUUUGUAUUUUGAGGUUUCUCUAUUAUUUCUUUUUAUUUUAAUUGAAUAUUUGAUUUUAUUAUUCUCAAUCAUUUGAUUUCAAGCUUAUAUGUAACCACUACAUAUUUUUUUAAAAAAAAUGAAUAAAGUGAACUUUUUAAAAAUAAUUGUAGCCCCUCAAGCUCACGGAAAUGUUAUUAGUCUGCUCCUUCUGCCAUCUGUGUAACUUCUACAACUGAACUUUCAUUUCCCAUCAUCAAAAAAUGAGUCUUCUCAUCUCAGAAUUAAAAUAGCUGGUGCUGUGUAACAAUCAAAACAGAAAUUCACAGAAUCCUGGUCCAGGAAAGAAUUCUGCUAGCUCAGUUAUGUCUUUACACACACACACACACACACACACACACACACACACACACACACACACACGGCUUCUCUGCCCCUAACUCACUUAAUAGCCGUGACUGGUUAAGCACCGAAAGGCCUCUUUGAUUCAUUACACUUGAAGGGGGCUCCUGCACAGUCGAGGCGCCCUCCAGACCCCUGAUUAGGCACAAACCACACCAACCACCUGUGUUCACAGAGAUCCUUUACUGAGCAGGGAAGAAAAGUUAAAGUGGCAGAAUUGUGCUGCUAUGAAAAACGCUCUGAAAUGGUGACUCUAAUCAGGUAAGUUUAUUCUCCCUCAGAAAGAUGAGGAAGCCGUCUGGGCCAGUGAGACACUUCAGUUCCGCGAGGUCAUUCAAAGACACAGCUCCAGUCUUUUUGCUCCAUUACCUCGGGAUUUUUGUCCUGUCCUGUCUGUAAGCGCCAGUCUGGGUCGCCGGCAUGAUUGCAACCCAGUUAACGCGAAGGAGGAGCCGGAAGUGGAGCCCAUCCAAGUUUCCGCUCUGGCAGGGGUGGC